UUUACUUUUUCUAUGGUGUGCUGUUUCCUGUAAUUUAACAGCAGAGUGGUUUAGUCUGUAGUAAACUAGCAUAUACCCCUAUCUUCAGUUGGGGUAUCAAUUGGAUCUCGCCUUUCCAUUUUGGCUUAAUGAGCUGUAUCAUUUUGUUUGGCAGUAUAUAAAGACCAGGGAUUUGGAUAUAUGUCUGUGGUUCAGGAACUGUGCAACAGGACCUGGCUGAUGCAAGGGCAGAAGUUCAAGCGACACAAGACUAUAUUACAAACGGUGAUUGUAUAAUAACAGAUGCCAGACAUGACUCAAGUAGAUCAGCCAUGCAUUCUACAGUGACAGCUAUUUCUAUGAG
Orbicella faveolata is the source of this 343-nucleotide long non-coding RNA. NCBI's taxonomy places the organism in Eukaryota, Metazoa, Cnidaria, Anthozoa, Scleractinia, Merulinidae. The record is from RefSeq and is a predicted model, not a curated record.